This 499-nucleotide ribosomal RNA is filed under the name uncultured bacterium. Its description in RNAcentral is "partial 16S ribosomal RNA". It matches the Rfam family "Bacterial small subunit ribosomal RNA", at positions 28 to 507 of the family's 1533-position model. The record is from RNAcentral.
GACGAACGCUGGCGGCGUGCCUAAUACAUGCAAGUCGAGCGGACUUUCAAGAAGCUUGCUUUUUGAAAGUUAGCGGCGGACGGGUGAGUAACACGUGGGCAACCUGCCUGCAAGACGGGGAUAACUCCGGGAAACCGGGGCUAAUACCGGAUAAUAUCUUCCUUCGCAUGAAGGAAGGUUGAAAGGCGGCGCAAGCUGCCGCUUGCAGAUGGGCCCGCGGCGCAUUAGCUAGCUGGUGAGGUAACGGCUCACCAAGGCGACGAUGCGUAGCCGACCUGAGAGGGUGAUCGGCCACACUGGGACGGAGACACGGCCCAGACUCCUACGGGAGGCAGCAGUAGGGAAUCUUCCGCAAUAGACGAAAGUCUGACGGAGCAACGCCGCGUGAGCGAAGAAGGUCGUCGGAUCGUAAAGCUCUGUUGUCAGGGAAGAACAAGUACCGUUCGAACAGGGCGGUACCUUGACGGUACCUGACCAGAAAGCCACGGCUAACUACGUG